UAGGCUUUAUUAUACAAAAGUUAAACUAGGGUCUCCACCAAAGGAAUUCAAUGUGCAGAUUGAUACUGGAAGUGACAUCUUGUGGGUUACUUGCAAUGCCUGCAAUGAUUGCCCCCAAUCAAGUGGAAUCGAUUGAGCUCAAUUUCUUUGACCCUGCUAGUUCGUCAACUGCGUCUCUGGUUUCUUGCUCUGACCCAAUAUGUGCUUCUGUAGUUCAAGCUGCAGCUGCAGUUUCUGAAUGCUCUUCCCAGAGUAAUCAGUGUGCUUAUUCAUUUCGGUAUGGAGAUGGAAGUGGGACAUCUGGUUAUUAUUUAACUGAUUUAAUGUAUUUUGACACAAUUAUGGGGGCUUCUUUGGUUGCUAACUCUUCCGCUCCUAUUGUUUUUGGGUGUAGCACCUAUCAAUCUGGGGACUUAACUAAGACUGAUAGAGCAAUUGAUGGGAUUAUUGGGUUUGGUCAACAGGAUCUGUCUGUCAUAUCACAACUGUCAUCACGAGGGAUUACUCCCAAGGUGUUCUCCCAUUGCUUGAAGGGAGAGGGCAAUGGUGGUGGUAUACUAGUUCUUGGUGAGAUUCUGGAUCCAAGCAUUGUCUAUAGUCCCCUUGUCCCAUCACAGCCUCAUUAUAAUUUGUACCUGCAGAGCAUUGCUGUCAAUGGCCAAUUGUUGCCUAUUGAUACUGCAGUGUUUGCAACAUCAAAUACUCGAGGAACAAUUGUUGAUUCUGGAACAACUUUGUCGUACCUGGUGGAAGAAGCUUAUGAUCCUUUUGUCAAUGCUAUAACUGCUGUUGUUUCCCAAUCUGCGGUGCCAUUCACUUCAAAAGGAAACCAGUGUUAUCGAGUACCCACCAGUAUAUCUGAGAUAUUUCCUCCCGUUGCGUUAAACUUUGCUGGUGGUGCAUCCAUGGUUUUAAGACCAGAAGACUACCUUGUACAUUAUGGUUUUGUUGAUGGUGCUGUAAUGUGGUGCAUUGGCUUUCAGAAAGUUCAGUAUCAAGGAAUAACUAUUUUAGGAGAUCUUGUUCUCAAAGAUAAGAUUUUUGUUUAUGAUCUAGCUCGCCAACGGCUCGGGUGGACUAAUUAUGAUUGUUCAACGUCCGUAAAUGUCUCCAUAACUACUGCCAAAGAUGAAUUCAUCAACGCUGGGCAGUUGAGUGUGAGCAUCUCAUCAAGAAAUGCCCUCUUCAAGUUAAUACCAAUGAGCAUUACUCUCUUUAUGCACUUCUCACUGUUCAUCGGGUUCCUCUUGUUGUAACUUAAAUCUGCUACUUGAAACCCUAUUCUUUGCCCCGACAUCUAUUGGCUUUGCUGAUUUUAUUUAUUAACAAUCAGCCAGGCAUUGUGGGUCUUGUCUCGAGCACUUCCAGCAUUGUAAAUUAUAUCGGUAGUCCAUGGUUGAGGUUUGUAGAAUGAAAUUGCAGGCAUUUGGAAGUAAAACACGGCAGUUUGUAGCGAUUGCUUUCCAGUUUAGCAAGAAUUGUACAAAUAAGGUUUAGUUUUGUAAAGCCGGUUUGUUUUUGUAAUACAUUUGUAAACUCUUUGUUUUGUUUUGUUUUUUUUUUUGAAGUUUUGCUUUUUCGGCCAAAUGCUUUACAAAUGUUUUGAAAGACAUUUUUAAUGCUGGUUUGUUCUUUGCCCAGACAUCUAUUGGCUUUGCUGAUUUUAUUUAUUAAUAUUCAGCCACGCAUUGUGGUAUGGUUCUGAUUCCCGCGAGUAGCUCUUUCCUGUGCUCAUUCUUUUCCUAACCUCAUUCUGGUUAAUUAACUGAUGAAUUGGGUCCCUUAUCGUAUUCAACUCUGACUAUAAAUUCCUCCUUUUCUUGUAUAAGGGUCUUGUCUUGAGCACUUCCAGCAUUGUUAAUUAUAUCAGUAGUACAUGAUUGAGGUUUGUAGAAUGAAAUUGCGGGCAUUUGGAGGUAAAACAUGGCAGUUUGUAGUGAUUGAUUUCCAGUUUAGCAUGAAUUGUAUAAAUAAGGUUUUAGUUUUUAUAGCUGGUUUGUUUUUGUAAGA
This is a non-coding RNA of Camellia sinensis, 2010 nucleotides long. NCBI's taxonomy places the organism in Eukaryota, Viridiplantae, Streptophyta, Magnoliopsida, Ericales, Theaceae. The record is from RefSeq and is a predicted model, not a curated record.